Molecule: unclassified non-coding RNA, 230 nt
Filed under: plant metagenome
Description: partial contains small subunit ribosomal RNA, internal transcribed spacer 1, and 5.8S ribosomal RNA
Source: RNAcentral
UCUCCGUAGGUGAACCUGCGGAGGGAUCAUUACAGAGUUCUCGCCUUCACGGGUAGAUCUCCCACCCAAUGUUAUCGUUACCACUAUUUCUUUGGCGGGCCGCCGGGCCCUGCUCGGCCGCCGGCUCCGGCUGGCGCGCGCCCGUCAGAGGCCCUUUAAACCCUGAAUGUCAGUGUCGUCUGAGUACUAUACAAUAGUUAAAACUUUCAACAACGGAUCUCUUGGUUCUG